GAUGAACGCUGGCGGCGUGCUUAACACAUGCAAGUCGAACGAUGAAGCCCAGCUUGCCGGGUGGAUUAGUGGCGAACUGGUGAGUAACACGUGAGUAACCUGCCCUUAACUCUGGGAUAAGCCUGGGAAACUGGGUCUAAUACCGGAUAGGAGCGUCCACCGCAUGGUGGGUGUUGGAAAGAUUUAUCGGUUUUGGAUGGACUCGCGGCCUAUCAGCUUGUUGGUGAGGUAAUGGCUCACCAAGGCGACGACGGGUAGCCGGCCUGAGAGGGUGACCGGCCACACUGGGACUGAGACACGGCCCAGACUCCUACGGGAGGCAGCAGUGGGGAAUAUUGCACAAUGGGCGCAAGCCUGAUGCAGCGACGCCGCGUGAGGGAUGACGGCCUUCGGGUUGUAAACCUCUUUCAGUAGGGAAGAAGCGAAAGUGACGGUACCUGCAGAAGAAGCACCGGCUAACUACGUG
This 466-nucleotide ribosomal RNA is filed under the name uncultured bacterium. RNAcentral describes it as "partial 16S ribosomal RNA". It matches the Rfam family "Bacterial small subunit ribosomal RNA", at positions 28 to 507 of the family's 1533-position model. The record is from RNAcentral.